GGGAUAUUGCGCAAUGGGGGCAACCCUGACCCAGCAACGCCGCGUGAGUGAUGAAGGCCUUCGGGUUGUAAAGCUCUGUUAUAGGGGACGAAGGAAGUGACGGUACCCUAUAAGGAAGCCCCGGCUAACUACGUGCCAGCAGCCGCGGUAAUACGUAGGGGGCGAGCGUUGUCCGGAAUGACUGGGCGUAAAGGGCGUGUAGGCGGUUUUUUAAGUCUGGAGUGAAAGUCCUGCAUUCAAUGUGGGAAUUGCUUUGGAUACUGGAAGACUUGAGUGCGGAAGAGGUAAGUGGAAUUCCCAGUGUAGCGGUGAAAUGCGUAGAGAUUGGGAGGAACACCAGUGGCGAAGGCGACUUACUGGGCCGUAACUGACGCUGAGGCGCGAAAGCGUGGGGAGCGAACA
This 402-nucleotide ribosomal RNA is filed under the name uncultured bacterium. Its description in RNAcentral is "bacterial SSU rRNA". It matches the Rfam family "Bacterial small subunit ribosomal RNA", at positions 358 to 774 of the family's 1533-position model. The record is from RNAcentral.